Molecule: ribosomal RNA, 249 nt
Filed under: uncultured crenarchaeote
Lineage: Archaea; Thermoproteati; Thermoproteota
Description: partial 16S ribosomal RNA
Rfam family: Archaeal small subunit ribosomal RNA
Source: RNAcentral
AGCUCUCCGAGUGGUGUGGAUGGUUAUUGGGCUUAAAGCAUCCGUAGCCUGCUGAGCAAGUCCCCUGUUAAACCCAACGAUUUAAUCGUUGGUCUGCGGGGGAUACUGUUCGGCUAGGGGGCGGGAGAGGCCGCCGGUAUUCUCGGGGUAGGGGUGAAAUCCUAUAAUCCCGGGGAGGACCACCAGUGGCGAAGGCUGUCGGCUAGAACGCGCCCGACGGUGAGGGAUGAAAGCUGGGGGAGCGAACCG